AAAUUGAAGAGUUUGAUCAUGGCUCAGAUUGAACGCUGGCGGCAGGCCUAACACAUGCAAGUCGAACGGUAACAGGAAGCAGCUUGCUGCUUUGCUGACGAGUGGCGGACGGGUGAGUAAUGUCUGGGAAACUGCCUGAUGGAGGGGGAUAACUACUGGAAACGGUGGCUAAUACCGCAUAACGUCGCAAGACCAAAGAGGGGGACCUUCGGGCCUCUUGCCAUCAGAUGUGCCCAGAUGGGAUUAGCUUGUUGGUGAGGUAACGGCUCACCAAGGCGACGAUCCCUAGCUGGUCUGAGAGGAUGACCAGCCACACUGGAACUGAGACACGGUCCAGACUCCUACGGGAGGCAGCAGUGGGGAAUAUUGCACAAUGGGCGCAAGCCUGAUGCAGCCAUGCCGCGUGUAUGAAGAAGGCCUUCGGGUUGUAAAGUACUUUCAGCGGGGAGGAAGGUGUUGUGGUUAAUAACCGCAGCAAUUGACGUUACCCGCAGAAGAAGCACCGGCUAACUCCGUGCCAGCAGCCGCGGUAAUACGGAGGGUGCAAGCGUUAAUCGGAAUUACUGGGCGUAAAGCGCACGCAGGCGGUCUGUCAAGUCGGAUGUGAAAUCCCCGGGCUCAACCUGGGAACUGCAUUCGAAACUGGCAGGCUUGAGUCUUGUAGAGGGGGGUAGAAUUCCAGGUGUAGCGGUGAAAUGCGUAGAGAUCUGGAGGAAUACCGGUGGCGAAGGCGGCCCCCUGGACAAAGACUGACGCUCAGGUGCGAAAGCGUGGGGAGCAAACAGGAUUAGAUACCCUGGUAGUCCACGCCGUAAACGAUGUCUACUUGGAGGUUGUGCCCUUGAGGCGUGGCUUCCGGAGCUAACGCGUUAAGUAGACCGCCUGGGGAGUACGGCCGCAAGGUUAAAACUCAAAUGAAUUGACGGGGGCCCGCACAAGCGGUGGAGCAUGUGGUUUAAUUCGAUGCAACGCGAAGAACCUUACCUGGUCUUGACAUCCACAGAACUUUCCAGAGAUGGAUUGGUGCCUUCGGGAACUGUGAGACAGGUGCUGCAUGGCUGUCGUCAGCUCGUGUUGUGAAAUGUUGGGUUAAGUCCCGCAACGAGCGCAACCCUUAUCCUUUGUUGCCAGCGGUCCGGCCGGGAACUCAAAGGAGACUGCCAGUGAUAAACUGGAGGAAGGUGGGGAUGACGUCAAGUCAUCAUGGCCCUUACGACCAGGGCUACACACGUGCUACAAUGGCGCAUACAAAGAGAAGCGACCUCGCGAGAGCAAGCGGACCUCAUAAAGUGCGUCGUAGUCCGGAUUGGAGUCUGCAACUCGACUCCAUGAAGUCGGAAUCGCUAGUAAUCGUGGAUCAGAAUGCCACGGUGAAUACGUUCCCGGGCCUUGUACACACCGCCCGUCACACCAUGGGAGUGGGUUGCAAAAGAAGUAGGUAGCUUAACCUUCGGGAGGGCGCUUACCACUUUGUGAUUCAUGACUGGGGUGAAGUCGUAACAAGGUAACCGUAGGGGAACCUGCGGUUGGAUCACCUCCUUACCUUAAAGAA
Molecule: ribosomal RNA, 1552 nt
Filed under: Salmonella enterica
Lineage: Bacteria; Pseudomonadati; Pseudomonadota; Gammaproteobacteria; Enterobacterales; Enterobacteriaceae
Also listed under: 12 other names
Description: bacterial SSU rRNA
Rfam family: Bacterial small subunit ribosomal RNA
Source: RNAcentral